RNAcentral lists this small RNA (301 nucleotides) under Arabidopsis thaliana (thale cress). Its description in RNAcentral is "ATSL244700". The record is from RNAcentral. Lineage: Eukaryota; Viridiplantae; Streptophyta; Magnoliopsida; Brassicales; Brassicaceae.
ACAAACUUAUUUUUGUGUUUCAAUACAAACUUGUUACUUUAAUUACAAAAUUCCAUGAACUCAUAUUAGGCAAAACUGUUUCAAUUUUGUGUGAUAUUGGCAGAUGUUGAAGGAUAUAAUGUAGAGAGUGGUGGUUCCUUGUGUUGUAAUAACCACCCGAAAUUUGGAAAGUGCAACACAAACAAUGACAAUCAGAGAUGUAACCGUUGGUGUCACAAUGGAUGCGGGAAUGGAAAAGGCGAUUACUGCAAAGCUAUGUCUCACGGAGGACUAUGUCAUUGUUAUUGUUAACUCACAAUUA